GACGAACCGUGCGAACGUUAUUCGGAAUCAUUGGGCUUAAAGCGCGUGUAGGCGGAUUCGUGCGUCUGUCGCUGAAAUCCCCCGGCUCAACCGGGGAAGUGGCGUGGAUACGACGAGUCUGGAGGGGCAUAGGGGGACCUGGAACUUCCGGUGGAGCGGUGAAAUGCGUUGAGAUCGGAAGGAACGCCCGUGGCGAAAGCGAGGUCCUGGAUGCUUACUGACGCUGAGACGCGAAAGCUAGGGGAGCAAACAGG
RNAcentral lists this ribosomal RNA (254 nucleotides) under uncultured bacterium. RNAcentral's name for it is "partial 16S ribosomal RNA". It matches the Rfam family "Bacterial small subunit ribosomal RNA", at positions 524 to 776 of the family's 1533-position model. The record is from RNAcentral.